GUGAAUCAUCAAAUCUUUGAACGCACAUUGCACUCUCUGGUAUUCCGUAGAGUAUGCCUGUUUGAGGGUAAUUAAAAACAUUCUUUAACCAAUUUUGUUGGUCGUAGGUUAUGAGUUCUCCGCGUUUAUAGCGGUAACUUGAAAUAAAUGGGCAAGUCUCAUUUUAGUGGAGACUCGUAAUAAUAUUAUUUCGCGAUAACUUCAUUAUGUGACUAUCAAGUUUUGAUGCAUACAAAUUUGGUUUGUAGGCGAUCAAUACAAAUAUUUUGAACAUUACCUCAAAUCAGGAAUG
This 292-nucleotide unclassified non-coding RNA is filed under the name Ambisporaceae sp. RNAcentral's name for it is "partial contains 5.8S ribosomal RNA and internal transcribed spacer 2". The stretch from base 1 to 71 matches the Rfam family "5.8S ribosomal RNA", at positions 84 to 154 of the family's 154-position model. Lineage: Eukaryota; Fungi; Glomeromycota; Glomeromycetes; Archaeosporales; Ambisporaceae. The record is from RNAcentral.